This 497-nucleotide ribosomal RNA is filed under the name uncultured bacterium. RNAcentral's name for it is "partial 16S ribosomal RNA". It matches the Rfam family "Bacterial small subunit ribosomal RNA", at positions 28 to 507 of the family's 1533-position model. The record is from RNAcentral.
GAUGAACGCUGGCGGCGUGCCUAAUACAUGCAAGUCGAGCGAACAGAUGAGGAGCUUGCUCCUCUGACGUUAGCGGCGGACGGGUGAGUAACACGUGGAUAACCUACCUAUAAGACUGGGAUAACUUCAGGAAACCGGAGCUAAUACCGGAUAAUAUAUUGAACCGCAUGGUUCAAUAGUGAAAGACGGUUUUGCUGUCACUUAUAGAUGGAUCCGCGCCGCAUUAGCUAGUUGGUAAGGUAACGGCUUACCAAGGCAACGAUGCGUAGCCGACCUGAGAGGGUGAUCGGCCACACUGGAACUGAGACACGGUCCAGACUCCUACGGGAGGCAGCAGUAGGGAAUCUUCCGCAAUGGGCGAAAGCCUGACGGAGCAACGCCGCGUGAGUGAUGAAGGUCUUCGGAUCGUAAAACUCUGUUAUUAGGGAAGAACAAAUGUGUAAGUAACUAUGCACGUCUUGACGGUACCUAAUCAGAAAGCCAUGGCUAACUACGUG